UUGCUGUGAUGACCAUCUUAGGACACCUUUGGAAUUGACCAUGAAAACACCUUUUAGUCUGAGCAAC
Molecule: small nucleolar RNA, 67 nt
Organism: Carassius auratus (goldfish)
Lineage: Eukaryota; Metazoa; Chordata; Actinopteri; Cypriniformes; Cyprinidae
Gene: SNORD58
Rfam family: Small nucleolar RNA SNORD58
About the family: snoRNA U58 is found in introns 1, 3 and 6 of the ribosomal protein RPL17 gene in humans. U58 is a member of the C/D class of snoRNA which contain C (UGAUGA) and D (CUGA) box motifs.
Source: Ensembl